AGAGUUUGAUCCUGGCUCAGGACGAACGCUGGCGGCGUGCUUAACACAUGCAAGUUGAACGGGAAUAUCGUUUUCGGAUGAUAUUCUAGUAGCGGACGGGUGAGUAACGCGUGAGCAACCAACCUUUGUGAGGGGGACAACAGCUGGAAACGGCUGCUAAUACCGCAUAAGACCACGGUUUCGCAUGGAACUGAGGUAAAAGAUUUAUCGCACAAAGACGGGCUCGCGUCCCAUUAGCUAGUUGGUGAGGUAACGGCUCACCAAGGCUUCGAUGGGUAGCCGACCUGAGAGGGUGAUCGGCCACACUGGAACUGAGACACGGUCCAGACUCCUACGGGAGGCAGCAGUGGGGAAUAUUGGGCAAUGGGCGCAAGCCUGACCCAGCAACGCCGCGUGAGGGAAGAAGGUCUUCGGAUUGUAAACCUCUGUCCUUGGGGACGAAAAAAAUGACGGUACCCAAGGAG
Molecule: ribosomal RNA, 464 nt
Filed under: uncultured bacterium
Lineage: Bacteria
Description: bacterial SSU rRNA
Rfam family: Bacterial small subunit ribosomal RNA
Source: RNAcentral